CAGCAGUAGGGAAUUUUCCGCAAUGGACGAAAGUUUGACGGAGCAACGCCGCGUGAACGAAGAAGGCCUUCGGGUUGUAAAGUUUUGUUGUUAGGGAAGAACAAGUACCGGAGUAACUGCCGGUACCUUGACGGUACCUAACCAGAAAGCCACGGCUAACUACGUGCCAGCAGCCGCGGUAAUACGUAGGUGGCAAGCGUUGUCCGGAAUUAUUGGGCGUAAAGCGCGCGCAGGCGGUUCCUUAAGUCUGAUGUGAAAGCCCCCGGCUCAACCGUGGAGGGUCAUUGGAAACUGGGGAACUUGAGUGCAGAAGAGGAAAGCGGAAUUCCACGUGUAGCGGUGAAAUGCGUAGAGAUGUGGAGGAACACCAGUGGCGAAGGCGGCUUUCUGGUCUGUAACUGACGCUGAGGCGCGAAAGCGUGGGGAGCAAACAGGAUUAGAUACCCUGGUAGUCCACGCCGUAAACGAUGAGUGCUAAGUGUUAGAGGGUUUCCGCCCUUUAGUGCUGCAGCUAACGCAUUAAGCACUCCGCCUGGGGAGUACGGCCGCAAGGCUGAAACUCAG
RNAcentral lists this ribosomal RNA (564 nucleotides) under uncultured bacterium. Its description in RNAcentral is "bacterial SSU rRNA". It matches the Rfam family "Bacterial small subunit ribosomal RNA", at positions 349 to 904 of the family's 1533-position model. The record is from RNAcentral.